Molecule: transfer RNA, 75 nt
Filed under: Acidobacteriota bacterium
Lineage: Bacteria; Pseudomonadati; Acidobacteriota
Also listed under: 4 other names
Description: tRNA-His
Rfam family: tRNA
About the family: Transfer RNA (tRNA) molecules are approximately 80 nucleotides in length.
Source: RNAcentral
GUGGGUAUAGUUCAAUGGUGGAACGCCGGUCUGUGGCACCGGAUGGUGUGGGUUCGAGUCCCACUACCCACCCCA